Molecule: unclassified non-coding RNA, 287 nt
Filed under: uncultured fungus
Lineage: Eukaryota; Fungi
Description: partial contains small subunit ribosomal RNA, internal transcribed spacer 1, and 5.8S ribosomal RNA
Rfam family: Eukaryotic small subunit ribosomal RNA (bases 1-73)
Source: RNAcentral
GCAAACUUGGUCAUUUAGAGGAAGUAAAAGUCGUAACAAGGUUUCCGUAGGUGAACCUGCGGAAGGAUCAUUAGAAAAUAACCGGCCUAGCCGGUAAUAAAUUCUAUCCACCUUGUGUGCAAACAAUGAAAAAAGAGAGAGAAAAUUGGAUACUUUUCGUAUUCAACCUCUCUAAAGUUUUCUAUAAACUCCAUCAAAUUUUGAAAUGAAAACUAUUUUUUUAAUAAAAAUAUCAUACAACUUUCAACAACGGAUCUCUUGGCUCUCGCAUCGAUGAAGAACGCAGC